This 1783-nucleotide ribosomal RNA is filed under the name Pectobacterium odoriferum. Its description in RNAcentral is "bacterial LSU rRNA". It matches the Rfam family "Bacterial large subunit ribosomal RNA", at positions 398 to 2163 of the family's 2925-position model. Lineage: Bacteria; Pseudomonadati; Pseudomonadota; Gammaproteobacteria; Enterobacterales; Pectobacteriaceae. The record is from RNAcentral.
UGUGAGUUCGAUGAGUAGGGCGGGACACGUGACAUCCUGUCUGAAUAUGGGGGGACCAUCCUCCAAGGCUAAAUACUCCUGACUGACCGAUAGUGAACCAGUACCGUGAGGGAAAGGCGAAAAGAACCCCGGCGAGGGGAGUGAAAUAGAACCUGAAACCGUGUACGUACAAGCAGUGGGAGCCUACUUGUUAGGUGACUGCGUACCUUUUGUAUAAUGGGUCAGCGACUUAUAUUCUGUAGCAAGGUUAACCGUAUAGGGGAGCCGCAGGGAAACCGAGUCUUAACUGGGCGUUAAGUUGCAGGGUAUAGACCCGAAACCCGGUGAUCUAGCCAUGGGCAGGUUGAAGGUUGGGUAACACUAACUGGAGGACCGAACCGACUAAUGUUGAAAAAUUAGCGGAUGACUUGUGGCUGGGGGUGAAAGGCCAAUCAAACCGGGAGAUAGCUGGUUCUCCCCGAAAGCUAUUUAGGUAGCGCCUCGUGAAUUCAUCUUCGGGGGUAGAGCACUGUUUCGGCUAGGGGGUCAUCCCGACUUACCAACCCGAUGCAAACUACGAAUACCGAAGAAUGUUAUCACGGGAGACACACGGCGGGUGCUAACGUUCGUCGUGAAGAGGGAAACAACCCAGACCGCCAGCUAAGGUCCCAAAGUCAUGGUUAAGUGGGAAACGAUGUGGGAAGGCACAGACAGCCAGGAUGUUGGCUUAGAAGCAGCCAUCAUUUAAAGAAAGCGUAAUAGCUCACUGGUCGAGUCGGCCUGCGCGGAAGAUGUAACGGGGCUAAACCAUGCACCGAAGCUGCGGCAGCGACACUUAGGUGUUGUUGGGUAGGGGAGCGUUCUGUAAGCCGUCGAAGGUGGCCUGUGAGGGCUGCUGGAGGUAUCAGAAGUGCGAAUGCUGACAUAAGUAACGAUAAUGCGGGUGAAAAACCCGCACGCCGGAAGACCAAGGGUUCCUGUCCAACGUUAAUCGGGGCAGGGUGAGUCGACCCCUAAGGCGAGGCUGAAAAGCGUAGUCGAUGGGAAACAGGUUAAUAUUCCUGUACUCGGUGUUACUGCGAAGGGGGGACGGAGAAAGCUAGGUUAUCCGGGCGACGGUUGUCCCGGUUUAAGCGUGAAGGUGGAUGACUUUGGUAAAUCCGGGUCGUCAUUAACACUGAGGCGUGAUGACGAGUCACUACGGUGAUGAAGUAACUAAUGCUACGCUUCCAGGAAAAGCCUCUAAGCUCCAGGUAACAUCAAAUCGUACCCCAAACCGACACAGGUGGUCAGGUAGAGAAUACUCAGGCGCUUGAGAGAACUCGGGUGAAGGAACUAGGCAAAAUGGUGCCGUAACUUCGGGAGAAGGCACGCUGAUGGUAGGUGAAGUGACUUGCUCACGGAGCUGAAAUCAGUCGAAGAUACCAGCUGGCUGCAACUGUUUAAUAAAAACACAGCACUGUGCAAACACGAAAGUGGACGUAUACGGUGUGACGCCUGCCCGGUGCCGGAAGGUUAAUUGAUGGGGUCAGCCGCAAGGCGAAGCUCUUGAUCGAAGCCCCGGUAAACGGCGGCCGUAACUAUAACGGUCCUAAGGUAGCGAAAUUCCUUGUCGGGUAAGUUCCGACCUGCACGAAUGGCGUAAUGAUGGCCAGGCUGUCUCCACCCGAGACUCAGUGAAAUUGAACUCGCUGUGAAGAUGCAGUGUACCCGCGGCAAGACGGAAAGACCCCGUGAACCUUUACUAUAGCUUGACACUGAACCUUGAGCCUUGAUGUGUAGGAUAGGUGGGAGGCUUUGAAGC